CCUACGGGCGGCAGCAGUAGGGAAUAUUGCUUAAUGGGCGAAAGCCUGAAGCAGCAACGCCGCGUGAACGAAGAAGGCCUUCGGGUCGUAAAGUUCUUUUACGUGGGAUGAGGAAGGACAGUACCACGAGAAUAAGUCUCGGCUAACUACGUGCCAGCAGCCGCGGUAAAACGUAGGAGACGAGCGUUAUCCGGAUUUACUGGGCGUAAAGAGCGUGUAGGAGGCUGAGUAAGAUGGAUGUGAAAGCCCCGGGCUUAACUCGGGGAGGUCGUUCGUGACUGCACAGCUAGAGUAAGUUAGAGGUAAACGGAACUCCGGGAGUAGUGGUGAAAUGCGUAGAUAUCCGGAAGAACAUCAGAGGCGAAAGCGGUUUACUGGGACUUAACUGACACUGAGACGCGAAAGCCAGGGUAGCAAACGGGAUUAGAUACCCUAGUAGUC
Molecule: ribosomal RNA, 441 nt
Filed under: uncultured bacterium
Lineage: Bacteria
Description: bacterial SSU rRNA
Rfam family: Bacterial small subunit ribosomal RNA
Source: RNAcentral